This 489-nucleotide ribosomal RNA is filed under the name Escherichia coli. RNAcentral's name for it is "partial 16S ribosomal RNA". It matches the Rfam family "Bacterial small subunit ribosomal RNA", at positions 1 to 479 of the family's 1533-position model. The record is from RNAcentral. Lineage: Bacteria; Pseudomonadati; Pseudomonadota; Gammaproteobacteria; Enterobacterales; Enterobacteriaceae. RNAcentral also lists the same sequence under 3 other names.
AAAUUGAAGAGUUUGAUCAUGGCUCAGAUUGAACGCUGGCGGCAGGCCUAACACAUGCAAGUCGAACGGUAACAGGAAACAGCUUGCUGUUUCGCUGACGAGUGGCGGACGGGUGAGUAAUGUCUGGGAAACUGCCUGAUGGAGGGGGAUAACUACUGGAAACGGUAGCUAAUACCGCAUAACGUCGCAAGACCAAAGAGGGGGACCUUCGGGCCUCUUGCCAUCGGAUGUGCCCAGAUGGGAUUAGCUAGUAGGUGGGGUAACGGCUCACCUAGGCGACGAUCCCUAGCUGGUCUGAGAGGAUGACCAGCCACACUGGAACUGAGACACGGUCCAGACUCCUACGGGAGGCAGCAGUGGGGAAUAUUGCACAAUGGGCGCAAGCCUGAUGCAGCCAUGCCGCGUGUAUGAAGAAGGCCUUCGGGUUGUAAAGUACUUUCAGCGGGGAGGAAGGGAGUAAAGUUAAUACCUUUGCUCAUUGACGUUACC